GCUGGCGGCAGGCCUAACACAUGCAAGUCGAGCGGAUGAGUGGAGCUUGCUCCAUGAUUCAGCGGCGGACGGGUGAGUAAUGCCUAGGAAUCUGCCUGGUAGUGGGGGACAACGUUUCGAAAGGAACGCUAAUACCGCAUACGUCCUACGGGAGAAAGUGGGGGAUCUUCGGACCUCACGCUAUCAGAUGAGCCUAGGUCGGAUUAGCUAGUUGGUGAGGUAAAGGCUCACCAAGGCGACGAUCCGUAACUGGUCUGAGAGGAUGAUCAGUCACACUGGAACUGAGACACGGUCCAGACUCCUACGGGAGGCAGCAGUGGGGAAUAUUGGACAAUGGGCGAAAGCCUGAUCCAGCCAUGCCGCGUGUGUGAAGAAGGUCUUCGGAUUGUAAAGCACUUUAAGUUGGGAGGAAGGGCAGUAAGUUAAUACCUUGCUGUUUUGACGUUACCAACAGAAUAAGCACCGGCUAACUUCGUGCCAGCAGCCGCGGUAAUACGAAGGGUGCAAG
RNAcentral lists this ribosomal RNA (508 nucleotides) under Pseudomonas sp. LBA22. Its description in RNAcentral is "bacterial SSU rRNA". It matches the Rfam family "Bacterial small subunit ribosomal RNA", at positions 35 to 538 of the family's 1533-position model. Lineage: Bacteria; Pseudomonadati; Pseudomonadota; Gammaproteobacteria; Pseudomonadales; Pseudomonadaceae. The record is from RNAcentral.